UCAGGACGAACGCUGGCGGCGUGCCUAAUACAUGCAAGUCGAACGGCUUUUCUAUGGAAGCUUGCUUCCACUGAGAAGAUAGUGGCGAACGGGUGAGUAACACGUGGGUAACCUGCCCAUAAGAGGGGGAUAACAUCCGGAAACGGGUGCUAAUACCGCAUAGUUUUCUUGAUCGCAUGAUCGGGAAAGGAAAGACGGCCUUUGUGCUGUCGCUUAUGGAUGGACCCGCGGCGUAUUAGUUAGUUGGUGAGGUAACGGCUCACCAAGACGAUGAUACGUAGCCGACCUGAGAGGGUGAUCGGCCACAUUGGGACUGAGACACGGCCCAAACUCCUACGGGAGGCAGCAGUAGGGAAUCUUCCGCAAUGGACGAAAGUCUGACGGAGCAACGCCGCGUGAGUGAAAGAAGGUUUUCGGAUCGUAAAACUCUGUUGUCAGAGAAGAACAAGUUGGAGAGUAACUGCUCCAGCCUUGACGGUAUCUGACCAGAAAGCCACGGCUAACUACGUGCCAGCCGCCGC
This 521-nucleotide ribosomal RNA is filed under the name uncultured bacterium. RNAcentral's name for it is "bacterial SSU rRNA". It matches the Rfam family "Bacterial small subunit ribosomal RNA", at positions 24 to 518 of the family's 1533-position model. The record is from RNAcentral.